AAGAUCGAAUGGGGAGAUUCAUCGUCAGCUUUGUCGGCUUGCGUGCUGCUCGCGAUGCUCGUCUUGGGACGUUAAUAGCGUUCUUUUGGACGGGCACGCGGUAGCUGCGUAAUUCUGUCCGAUGAAGUCGGCGUGCACUUCUCCCCUAGUAGGACGUCGCGACCCGUUGAGUGUCGGUCUAAGGCCCGCGAGGUUGACUGCCGGUGCGUCAGCGUGUCAAAGCGUUGGCGCCGCCGGUAGACCCGCGGUCGCCCGACCGACUGCUCGGCGGUAUAAAUUGUUUGAAAGUUCAAUGGUAUCGAGCCGCAUGAUUUUGAAUGCGUUCUUUUAUGGCUCGUCGGCAGGUGAGCCUCGCCUCGGAUUUUACGGACCUGGUGCCG
RNAcentral lists this ribosomal RNA (380 nucleotides) under Megaphragma nowickii. RNAcentral's name for it is "partial large subunit ribosomal RNA". Lineage: Eukaryota; Metazoa; Arthropoda; Insecta; Hymenoptera; Trichogrammatidae. The record is from RNAcentral.